CCUACGGGUGGCAGCAGUCGAGAAUCAUUCACAAUGGGGGAAACCCUGAUGGGGCGACGCCGCGUGGGGGAAUGAAGGUCUGCGGAUUGUAAACCCCUGUCAUGUGGGAGCAAAGUAAAAAGAUAGUACCACAAGAGGAAGAGACGGCCAACUCUGUGCCCGCAGCCGCGGUAAUACAGAGGUCUCAAGCGUUGUUCGGAACCACUGGGCGUAAAGAGUGCGUAGGCUGUUUCGUAAGUCGUGUGUGAAAGGCGCGGGCUCAACCCGCGGACGGCACAUGAGACUGCGAGACUAGCGUAAUGGCGUGGGAACCGGAAUUCUCGGUGUAGCCGUGAACUGCGU
Molecule: ribosomal RNA, 342 nt
Filed under: uncultured bacterium
Lineage: Bacteria
Description: partial 16S ribosomal RNA
Rfam family: Bacterial small subunit ribosomal RNA
Source: RNAcentral